GCUCCAGUGGCGCAAUCGGUCAGCGCGCGGUACUUAUAAUGCCGAGGUUGUGAGUUCGAACCUCACCUGGAGCA
Molecule: non-coding RNA, 74 nt
Organism: Solea senegalensis (Senegalese sole)
Lineage: Eukaryota; Metazoa; Chordata; Actinopteri; Pleuronectiformes; Soleidae
Source: the annotation of a RefSeq genome assembly